UGUGCAACUGGAUAACAAAGGGGGGUGCUUACUGCUCACUUUACCUCUGGAAGACGGUGAAUACUGCCUUUCAAGCCUUGGAUUCAUUUCCUCUCCUGGAUCUAACGCUGGGCGAGACAACCACAGCUCCAGACAGCGUCAGGUGGAGCCAGCAGCAAGGCGUGAGAAGAAUAUGCCUCGGGCAGCUGUUGGUUCAGCUACAAGGAGACGUGGAGCAGACUUGAACUCAACCUGUGGCUGGGAGUCAAGCCCAGCAGAUCCCAGCAGAGCCACAGAGAGCCUGAGAUCCACGAGCAAGGAGAAGAAACAUUUGUUGUUAUAAGCCACUGAAACCUUCAGAUUGUCGUGCAGCAAAAACUAAUUAAUUACACCUAUGCUGCUGAAUUUUCAACAGUAAGAAUUAACAUCUACAGUGUGCGGUGAUGCUAGGGAGUCGGUAUUUCACACAUAGCUUCUCAGGAAAUCCAUUUAACCAGGUAAAGAGCAUAAACUUCCUCCACAGCACCAGGUGAAAGACACGUCAGAUUCCUGAAUUCUGUAAAUUCACACCAGGUG
This 555-nucleotide long non-coding RNA is filed under the name Equus caballus (horse). RNAcentral describes it as "lncRNA (ENSECAG00000034018.3)". Lineage: Eukaryota; Metazoa; Chordata; Mammalia; Perissodactyla; Equidae. The record is from RNAcentral.